GACGAACGCUGGCGGCGUGCCUAAUACAUGCAAGUAGAACGCUGAAGGCGGAGCUUGCUUCUCUGGAUGAGUUGCGAACGGGUGAGUAACGCGUAGGUAACCUGCCUCGGAGCGGGGGAUAACUAUUGGAAACGAUAGCUAAUACCGCAUAAUAGUAGAUGUUGCAUGUCAUUUGCUUAAAAGGUACAAUUGCAUCACUACCAGAUGCACCUGCGUUGCAUUAGCUAGUGGGUGCGGUACCGGCGCACCAAGGCGACGAUACAUCGCCGACCGGAGAGGGGGAGCGGCCACACUGGGACGGAGACACGGCACAGAGGGCUACGGGAGGCAGCAGUAGGGAAUCGGCGGCAAGGGACGGAAGUCUGAGCGAGCAACGCCGCGGGAGGGAAGAAGGAUGUCGGGUCGGAAAGCUCUGUUGUAAGGGAAGAACGAGUGUGAGGGUGGAAAGUUCACACUGUGACGGUAUCUGACCAGAAAGGGACGGCUAACUACGUG
Molecule: ribosomal RNA, 495 nt
Filed under: uncultured bacterium
Lineage: Bacteria
Description: partial 16S ribosomal RNA
Rfam family: Bacterial small subunit ribosomal RNA
Source: RNAcentral